Molecule: ribosomal RNA, 113 nt
Filed under: Hucho hucho (huchen)
Lineage: Eukaryota; Metazoa; Chordata; Actinopteri; Salmoniformes; Salmonidae
Source: RNAcentral
ACCAGCAGCAUACCACACUGCAUCCCACUGCUGGCUUGCUUCUGAAGCUAAGCAGCGUUGGUCCUGGUUGGUCCCUGGAUGGUCCCUGGAUGGGAGACCAGAUGCUGCUGGAA